This is a long non-coding RNA of Lolium rigidum, 180 nucleotides long. RefSeq lists it as uncharacterized. Lineage: Eukaryota; Viridiplantae; Streptophyta; Magnoliopsida; Poales; Poaceae. The transcript has 3 exons. The record is from RefSeq and is a predicted model, not a curated record.
CCUAGGUACGUGCUGUUAGGUACUUGCAUCAAGUUGUUCCACACGGUGGAGACAAUGGCUCAACGAUAAAGUGUGCAUUCUUUACAGCAGAUCAGGAGGAUUACAACAGAUUGAGAUCAAUGAGUUAUGGUCAAGGCAAUCCUCAAUUCAAAUUGCAAAGCAAUACCGUGUAAUUCCUGU